GAGUUUGAUCAUGGCUCAGAUUGAACGCUGGCGGUAGGCUUAACACAUGCAAGUCGUGCGAGAAAGUAUCUUCGGAUAUGAGUAGAGCGGCGGACGGGUGAGUAACGCGUAGGAAUCUACCUAGUAGAAGGGGAUAGCCCGGGGAAACUCGGAUUAAUACCGUAUACCUCCUUCGGGAGAAAGAAGGCCUCUCUUUGAAGCUUUCGCUAUUAGAUGAGCCUGCGUAAGAUUAGCUUGUUGGUGAGGUAAAGGCUCACCAAGGCGACGAUCUUUAGCGGGUCUGAGAGGACGAUCCGCCACAUUGGGACUGAGACACGGCCCAGACUCCUACGGGAGGCAGCAGUGGGGAAUAUUGGACAAUGGGCGCAAGCCUGAUCCAGCCAUACCGCGUGUGUGAAGAAGGCCCUAGGGUUGUAAAGCACUUUAAGUUGGGAAGAAAAGUUAUUGGUUAAUACCCAAUAACCGUGACAUUACCAUCAGAAUAAGGACCGGCUAAUUCCGUGCCAGCAGCCGCGGUAAUACGGAAGGUCCAAGCGUUAAUCGGAAUUACUGGGCGUAAAGCGCGCGUAGGUGGUUUAUUAAGUUGGAUGUGAAAUCCCCGGGCUCAACCUGGGAACUGCAUCCAAAACUGAUUCACUAGAGUACGAUAGAGGGAGGUAGAAUUCACAGUGUAGCGGUGGAAUGCGUAGAUAUUGUGAAGAAUACCAAUGGCGAAGGCAGCCUCCUGGAUCUGUACUGACACUGAGGUGCGAAAGCGUGGGUAGCGAACAGGAUUAGAUACCCUGGUAGUCCACGCCGUAAACGAUGUCAACUAGCUGUUGGAAAACUAUGUUUUUCAGUGGCGCAGCUAACGUAGUAAGUUGACCGCCUGGGGAGUACGGCCGCAAGGCUAAAACUCAAAUGAAUUGACGGGGACCCGCACAAGCGGUGGAGCAUGUGGUUUAAUUCGAUGCAACGCGAAAAACCUUACCUAUACUUGACAUACUUGGAAUGCUUUGUAAUGAAGCAGUGCCUUCGGGAGCCAAGAUACAGGUGCUGCAUGGCUGUCGUCAGCUCGUGUCGUGAGAUGUUCCGUUAAGUCGGAUAACGAGCGCAACCCUUACCCUUAUUUGCCAGCGAUUCGGUCGGGAACUAUAAGGGGACUGCCGGUGAUAAACCGGAGGAAGGUGAGGACGACGUCAAGUCAUCAUGGCCCUUACGUAUAGGGCUACACACGUGCUACAAUGGAGAAUACAGACGGACGCUAAGCCGCGAGGUGGUGCUAAUCCUAGAAAAUUCUUCGUAGUCCGGAUUGGAGUCUGCAACUCGACUCCAUGAAGUCGGAAUCGCUAGUAAUCGCGAAUCAGCAUGUCGCGGUGAAUACGUUCUCGGGUCUUGUACACACCGCCCGUCAUACCAUGGAAGUGGAUUGCACCAGAAGUAGAUAGUCUAACCUUCGGGAGGGCGUUUACCACGGUGUGCUUCAUGACUGGGGUAAAGUCGUAACAAGGUAACC
This 1495-nucleotide ribosomal RNA is filed under the name uncultured marine bacterium. RNAcentral describes it as "bacterial SSU rRNA". It matches the Rfam family "Bacterial small subunit ribosomal RNA". The record is from RNAcentral.